GGACAUCGAGGUUCUCCGGGAGCGGGCUCACUGAAGCUGGUUCUCCUUUUGAAGGGACCUGUGGAGGGCCGUGAACCUUCAGCCAGAUGCAAAUUCAAUUAUCAACGAUGAAGCUCCCGCCGUGGUGUUUGUUAAUAAGUUCCUGUAAGCAUAUCAUUUAGUCGCUAUGCAUGACACUAGCUGAAGCGCUAUCUAAGCUCUAUUGGUAUGAGGUUUGGUUGCCGUGUUGCCGAGCCUGUAAACGAAGCAAGAUUUGCAAACUUGUUAUAUUGUGGUAUUGAUGAUACUGGAUUACUGGCUGUGGGUUGUUCGGGAAUGUCUCUGCCUCUCUGGUCUGGUGUCUGGACGUGGUUG
This 354-nucleotide long non-coding RNA is filed under the name Zea mays. RNAcentral's name for it is "long non-coding RNA (ZMAY_LNC002880)". The record is from RNAcentral. Lineage: Eukaryota; Viridiplantae; Streptophyta; Magnoliopsida; Poales; Poaceae.